GAAAGACUAGAUUUAGUAUCUCUGAAAAGUUCAAGACUCGCGUUUCGAUUGCAAUUAAUUGGCACGAAAUGGCGGCCAGAAUGCCAAAGCCAAAUGCAGAAUUUGGCCAUGCCAGCUAACCAACGAAGCCUGGCUUGGGGACCAACUGCGCUUUAAAUUGGUUAUAUAUUUGUAUGCGAAUAUAAUUAGUUAUUAGUUUGGCUAAUUGCUUGCAGAAAUGUUAACACUUGGUUGGCUUUCGAUCCAAUUGCAACUACAUCGAACAAUAAGAAUAAAAUUUCACGCUACGUUAA
Drosophila suzukii is the source of this 293-nucleotide long non-coding RNA. RefSeq lists it as uncharacterized. The record is from RefSeq and is a predicted model, not a curated record. Lineage: Eukaryota; Metazoa; Arthropoda; Insecta; Diptera; Drosophilidae.